UUUCCAACUUUCUCUAAGGCA
This 21-nucleotide non-coding RNA is filed under the name Caenorhabditis elegans. The record is from RNAcentral. Lineage: Eukaryota; Metazoa; Nematoda; Chromadorea; Rhabditida; Rhabditidae.